CAGCAGGAAGAGCAAGCUGUAUGCCCAUUGUCACACUGAAAGACGGGAAUGGUCAACGAAUCGUAGCAGAUGGGGCAAUCAAGCACUUCUGGAUCUGUUAGGGUCACGCAAAUUGCCCCAUUUCUGCUGGGUAGGGACGAUUAGAUGAUCUAGGUCGGAAGAUCGGUGAGGGAAAGAAGCCAUCUUCUUCUCCUUCUUCUUCGUCAUCUUUCUCGUCCUCGUCAUCUUCCUCAUCUCGUUCUUGUUGUUGUUCUUCACUUUGGUCAUUUUCCUCCUCCAAUACCUCAUCCUCAUCCUCUACUAUUUCAACAUUUUCAUCUUCUGUAUCAUGCCAAGACGCUUGUUGAGAAGAAUCACAGUUCUUCUGUCUCUUUUGCCUUCGACUGCUUGGCCCUUCAUCUGCUUCUCCGCCAAUUGAGAAUCUCGCCAUGUCUCUCUAAAUUUUGAUUUCCUACCAACACGACACUGUCCGCUCACGUCCC
This 482-nucleotide unclassified non-coding RNA is filed under the name Hevea brasiliensis (rubber tree). The record is from RNAcentral. Lineage: Eukaryota; Viridiplantae; Streptophyta; Magnoliopsida; Malpighiales; Euphorbiaceae.